Molecule: unclassified non-coding RNA, 366 nt
Filed under: soil metagenome
Description: partial contains 5.8S ribosomal RNA, internal transcribed spacer 2, and large subunit ribosomal RNA
Rfam family: 5.8S ribosomal RNA (bases 1-120)
Source: RNAcentral
GAUGAAGAACGCAGUGAAAUGCGAUAACUAAUGUGAAUUGCAGAAUUCCGUGAAUCAUCGAGUCUUUGAACGCACAUUGCGCCCCCUGGUAUUCCGGGGGGCAUGCCUGUCCGAGCGUCAUUACAACCCUCAAGCCCGGCUUGUGUAAUGGGCGGCCGUCUCUCCCCCCGGGGGGAGACGCCCCCGAAACUCAGUGGGGAUGUCGCGAUACCGAAGCCUCAGCUAAUGGGUAAACCACAGCUGCAAUGGCCGCGGCCGGCGUCCGCCUUCCACGGUCCGUCCGCCUAGCGCGGGCGGCCUUCUCAAGGUUGACCUCGGAUCAGGUAGGGAUACCCGCUGAACUUAAGCAUAUCAAUAAGCGGAGGA